CCAUCCUCCAAGGCUAAAUACUCCUGACUGACCGAUAGUGAACCAGUACCGUGAGGGAAAGGCGAAAAGAACCCCGGCGAGGGGAGUGAAAAAGAACCUGAAACCGUGUACGUACAAGCAGUGGGAGCCUCUUUUAUGGGGUGACUGCGUACCUUUUGUAUAAUGGGUCAGCGACUUAUAUUCUGUAGCAAGGUUAACCGAAUAGGGGAGCCGAAGGGAAACCGAGUCUUAACUGGGCGUUAAGUUGCAGGGUAUAGACCCGAAACCCGGUGAUCUAGCCAUGGGCAGGUUGAAGGUUGGGUAACACUAACUGGAGGACCGAACCGACUAAUGUUGAAAAAUUAGCGGAUGACUUGUGGCUGGGGGUGAAAGGCCAAUCAAACCGGGAGAUAGCUGGUUCUCCCCGAAAGCU
RNAcentral lists this ribosomal RNA (412 nucleotides) under Escherichia coli. Its description in RNAcentral is "partial 23S ribosomal RNA". It matches the Rfam family "Bacterial large subunit ribosomal RNA", at positions 453 to 867 of the family's 2925-position model. The record is from RNAcentral. Lineage: Bacteria; Pseudomonadati; Pseudomonadota; Gammaproteobacteria; Enterobacterales; Enterobacteriaceae.